GGAGUUAGCCGGUGCUUCUUCUGCGAGUAACGUCACAGAUGUAAGGUAUUAACUUACACCCUUUCCUCCUCGCUGAAAGUGCUUUACAACCCGAAGGCCUUCUUCACACACGCGGCAUGGCUGCAUCAGGGUUUCCCCCAUUGUGCAAUAUUCCCCACUGCUGCCUCCCGUAGGAGUCUGGGCCGUGUCUCAGUCCCAGUGUGGCUGAUCAUCCUCUCAGACCAGCUAGGGAUCGUCGCCUAGGUGAGCCUUUACCUCACCUACUAGCUAAUCCCACCUGGGCUUAUCCAUCAGCGCAAGGCCCGAAGGUCCCCUGCUUUCCCCCGUAGGGCGUAUGCGGUAUUAGCAGUCGUUUCCAACUGUUAUCCCCCACAAAUGGGCAAAUUCCCAGGCAUUACUCACCCGUCCGCCGCUCGUCAUCUUCAAAAGCAAGCUUUUAGAAAUGUUACCGCUCGACUUGCAUGUGUUAGGCCUGCCGCCAGCGUUCAAUCUGAGCCAUGAUCAAACUCUGA
RNAcentral lists this ribosomal RNA (512 nucleotides) under uncultured bacterium. RNAcentral's name for it is "partial 16S ribosomal RNA". The record is from RNAcentral.